UACGUACAAAAUUUUCCGGCUAAUCUAAAACACUUCAUAAGAUAGAGAGCUUCUGGAAAUUCGGACACAGAGAGUGCAUAAAAUACAAGAUAAGUCUCGUGUCUUUCAAAAUUAUUUUUUAUUCGCUAAAAACGUCCUGUGUACUCAUGCAAUCACAUGCAACCUCGAAACUUCACUUAUUUUUUAUCACUUUCCAAUUCAAUACACAGUUUCUGCAUUUUUGACUAUAUGUAAGAGAAAUUUCCAUUCAGCCAAAGGUGUACUUACAGAUUAUAGAUUCCUAUACGACUCUCAGUAAAAAUUUAUCCGCACUCCAGAUAGUUAAAACUUCUGUCGACCGUAUUGAUCCAUCUGCACUCUUCGUAUGACGUCAAUAUCUGUUCAGUGCUGCUGCGCAGGUUUCUUUGUGUUACGUCAAUUCGUUUGUGACCGUUGCGCGAGUAAUGGCGCUUUGCAAUGGUGAUUUGCAGGAAAACAGUGCAGGAUGCUGUGAUUCGUUUCUUGUGGUCGGAGGUUAUGUUUGAUGCCUAUAUUUAUCAAAGAUUUAAUGCACAUUAUGGAGAAAGUGUUUUGUCACGAAGUGUGUUUGAAUGGGCACAAAAGUUCAAAGAAGAUCGCACAAGUGUUAUGAAAAAACAGCUGGACGCCCGUCCACAUCCACGAUGACAACAUUGAACGUGCUCAUGAACUUAUGCUCUAUGGAAUAGACGAGUGACAGUGGAUAAUGUGGCAAAUCAUUUGCAAAUCAGCCACGGCUCUGCUUAUGCAAUAGUACACGACAGAUUUGGAUUUUAAAAAGUUUGUGCGAGAUGGAUGCCGAAAAAGCUGAUGAAAAGGUGAAGACGACGAUGCAUUCGUGGUUCGCAGCUCAGCCCAAAACAUUUUUUAAUGAGAAAAUAUAAAGGUCCUUCGGCAAAUGGACAAAGUGUAUACAGAAAUCGAGUGAUUAUGUCAAAAAAUGAUGUAUGUCUUUUUUGACAAUUGCUUAAAAUAAAUUCUACACCGACAGAGCGGGCUGUUAAUCUAGAGGCUGGAGUACAAAGAAGUGGCACAAUGAUGUGGGCUGAUGACAUUUAUAAUUAUCAAGGAAUCACCCCUACAUUCGCUCAGAAUUUUAAUGAAACUGUCCCUUGGGAAGGAAGAACUGAUACCUUGAUAUCACGGUUUGUACAUCCUAUAUAUACGACAAAUUUUAGAACAUUAUAUAACGAAGAACCAGAUCGUCGUGGCCAUGUGAUGUGAAUAAAAGGACUUGAAUUUGAUGAUAUUUUUAUAAUGUUAGAUAACAUAACUAAGUAUCUUCACAGUAAGAUAGGAUGACAUGGUUUACAUGAUCUUAAUGUUGUUCACUCGAGUGAUGAUAUUAUAAGGAAAAGUGUAAUAUCACAGGAUAUUUAUGUUUAGUAACCAGUAAUUCAGAGAUUGGUAUUCAUGGUUACUAUAACGAGGCUGUAGAAACGCACCCUUUCUUCUUUGCAAAUGGUCCUGUAUUUAUGUCUAAGCCGAAACUGGAACCUCUGAAUAAUUUAGAUUUAUUCUUGUUAUUUUCUAAAAUACUUAUCUACAGUAUACCAUAAGGAAUGAUACCGUAUCGCACCUAAUCAAGUGCCUUAAGAAACAUCAACAGGAUAUCACAGUAAUCCCUUAUCGACUGAUAUUUGUAGCCACUACAAUAUCUAUGACACUGGUAGUAAUUAUAAGAACAAUAAUGAUGUUCUAUAAGAGGAAAUGAUGAUUAGGAACAAAAACUUACAGGAGAUAUCAUGCGGUGGAUGGAUAAUAUGUAAAAAAUAUUAAGCAGUAUAUGAAUUUUCAUAUUGCGUAGAGAUAACAAAAUGAAUUUUAAAAAAUGUCGACAUGAUUGAACAAUAUUCCAGAUUUAUUCAUAAUUUCAUACUACGCGAAGAAUAGACUUUCAUAGGUAUAUAAAGGAAAUAUUAAGUAUAGGAAAACUCUUUUUCGUUGUAGGUGACAUAUGCUUCACGGUUGAACACAUGUAUUUUUGAACACAUAUAAAUGAAAAAGUACUCUUAUGGAG
Molecule: long non-coding RNA, 2038 nt
Organism: Bombus huntii
Lineage: Eukaryota; Metazoa; Arthropoda; Insecta; Hymenoptera; Apidae
Exons: 7
Source: RefSeq, a predicted model, not a curated record